GACGAACGCUGGCGGCGUGCUUAACACAUGCAAGUCGAGCGGUAAGGCCCUUUCGGGGGUACGACGAGCGGCGAACGGGUGAGUAACACGUGGGUGACCUGCCCUCAGCUCUGGGAUAAGCCUGGGAAACCGGGGUCUAAUACCGGAUAUGACUCCAUGACGCAUGUUGUGGGGUGGAAAGCCUUGUGCGGCUGAGGAUGGGCCCGCGGCCUAUCAGCUUGUUGGUGGGGUGAUGGCCUACCAAGGCGACGACGGGUAGCCGGCCUGAGAGGGCGACCGGCCACACUGGGGACUGAGACACGGCCCAGACUCCUACGGGAGGCAGCAGUGGGGGAAUCUUGCGCAAUGGGCGAAAGCCUGACGCAGCGACGCCGCGUGAGGGAUGACGGCCU
Molecule: ribosomal RNA, 392 nt
Filed under: uncultured bacterium
Lineage: Bacteria
Description: bacterial SSU rRNA
Rfam family: Bacterial small subunit ribosomal RNA
Source: RNAcentral